UUUGGGUAAGGCCUCACCUAGACACCAACUCCAAGGAUGGGGCACAUGACCCAAGUCUAAGCCAAUCAGGGGAUCAUAUUCCUCUGGGGUCCAAAGAUUGGUUGAGGGGGCAGGUGCAUGACCCUCUCGAAGUCACUGGGAUGCCAGGAGGCUUUUGCUGAGACUUGCAGGAAAGAGACUCUUGCUUCUUCCCGUUGAACUUGAACCUACUCUCUCCUACCCCCAUCCUCAGCCUAUAAAGACAUUAGAGGGAUUUAAAGAAAACUUAGAGCAAGGAGUCAUUGGCCUAGGGAAGAGGGUCCUCCCUACUCCCAAGCCAAGGAAGAGGGUCUUCAGCAGAGCCACUCAUAGAGGUGGGCCAUUCUCCUUGGCCAUCUGCUCAUGCAGCAGAAUUGCUGAUGUGCCCUCUCUGCCUAUUUGAGCAAAGGAAAAGUACUUGGAGAGACAUGACAGGGUGGAGGGAGGAAGGAGAGGGCAGAAGGUGGCCACUGUGGGUGUGGCCCAGUUGUGUGUUUCCCAUAGGCUGGGCGGACACUGGGGAAGGCAUGGAAGCUGGAGCCAUCUAGCUGGUAUCCUGCUCAAGAUUCCCCAUCAAGCAGCCUUGGGGCAGGAGCUGGUGGCAGGAGCUGGAGCCUGUCUCCCUGGCAGGGAAUUAUGCAGUGAGGACUUCAGACCUGGGAGCCCUCCGAAUACGUCUUGCAUCUACCCCACGUCAGAAGCCCCGCAGGGAAGGCACUGAGGGCAGCUCCAGGCCACAGACCCUCUCUUCUCCAUUGGUUACAAGCAAGGAAGUAUGGAGUCCCAGACACUCUUGACAGGCUUCUUGGGGCUUUGAGAGGAGAGCAUGAUGGAGGAUGGGGCCAAUAUAAGAGAGCACAGCCAAGAACUGGCGAGAGAGAAACGGACCUGUGCACCAGUUUGAGACCUAGACAAAGAUUUGCCUGGAGCCACAUCUAUUCCUGAGCUGCUCAAUUAAAUGUACUCAGAAAUACACAUUUAUGAGUCUUUUUGUUUGUUUUUACUUUUUGUUUUUGUUUUGCUUAAAUCAGUUGGGUUGGGGUUCUGUUAUCUGCAACUAAAUGUAUCCUAAUAGAUUGCCUCGCUUCCAGCUCCUUUUACUUCUUUUGCACUAAUGCACCCCAGUCACCGUUGGUCCCUCCCUCUACCCUUUCCUCAAUUUAAGAACAAAUACACAAACCACUACAUAUAAAACAGAAUAAGAUGGGUGGCAGGGUUAUUUGGAUUCAUGGCUUGUUGAGAUUCCAUGCCCAAAGAAUAUUGAUUAAUGGAUCAAUGUCAAUCUGGAGGGAAGUCCUGUCCUGUUCAACAUUUUAAUCAAUGACUUGGAUGAAAUAGGAGACAUGCUUAAUAAGUCUCAGAUGACACGAGGCUGGAGGAAUUGCUAAUAUAACAGAUGGCAGAAUCAAGAUUCAAAAUUAUUUUGACUGACUUGAACAGUAAUAAGGAUAAAUAUAAACUCUUCCGUCUAGGCUCAAUAAAUCAAUUGUGUAAGCAGGGUUUGGAAAGGCCCAGCUUGGCAGUUGUCAUAACUACUUAGAACUUGAAGUUGACCAUAAACUCAUGUUGAGCCUAAAGUUAAGACAAUUAAUUAGUAACACAGUGAAUGCAGUUUUCAAAUAUUUAAAAACUGCUGUGAAGAAGAGACAUUGACUUUGCCUUUACUUCCCCAGUAGAAUAAAGAAGUAGAAUUUCCCGGGAAGUGGUUUUCAGUUCAUUGUAUGAAACAUUUUUUAAUGGUUCCAGUAACAGAACAGACCACCUUUCAAAAUGGUGAAUGUAAUAGCAAUCAUAUCAG
This 1816-nucleotide long non-coding RNA is filed under the name Homo sapiens (human). Its description in RNAcentral is "HSALNT0129788". Lineage: Eukaryota; Metazoa; Chordata; Mammalia; Primates; Hominidae. The record is from RNAcentral.